Marchantia polymorpha subsp. ruderalis is the source of this 212-nucleotide non-coding RNA. The record is from the annotation of a GenBank genome assembly. NCBI's taxonomy places the organism in Eukaryota, Viridiplantae, Streptophyta, Marchantiopsida, Marchantiales, Marchantiaceae.
GGCGACCUCAUUUAUUGUUCGUUUUGGAUCUUUUCUUGCUUGUUGACCUUAUUAUGUCUUCGCCGUACAUAUCCCUCUUGUCUGCAUGUGUUACGUCUCUCCGGACUUCGCUUCAGUGCUCUUGUACUAAGAGACGAAACACAUGCGGACAAUAGGUAUACAUACGGAGAACACAUGAUCAGGUGAACAAGCAACCAGAUAUGCGGUUGACC